GACAGAGGGUGCAACCGUUGUUCGGAAUUACUGGGCGUAAAGCGCGUGUAGGCGGCUAAGUAAGUCGGGCGUGAAAUCCCACGGCUCAACCGUGGAAGUGCACUCGAAACUGCAUAGCUAGAGUCCUGGAGAGGAAGGUGGAAUGCUUGGUGUAGAGGUGAAAUUCGUAGAUAUCAAGCGGAACACCAGUGGCGAAGGCGACUUACUGGACACAUAUUGACGCUGAGGUGCGAAAGCGUGGGGAGCAAACAGG
Molecule: ribosomal RNA, 253 nt
Filed under: uncultured bacterium
Lineage: Bacteria
Description: partial 16S ribosomal RNA
Rfam family: Bacterial small subunit ribosomal RNA
Source: RNAcentral